Molecule: long non-coding RNA, 780 nt
Organism: Conger conger (European conger)
Lineage: Eukaryota; Metazoa; Chordata; Actinopteri; Anguilliformes; Congridae
Exons: 3
Source: RefSeq, a predicted model, not a curated record
AAAGCUGGGCUCCCCGUUUCCUGGACCCUUGAUAGGAGUUAAUUCUUCAUACCACCACAGCCUAACAAGUUUGGAAGUAUAUUUUUGGUAAACUAGUGAACCAGCAGAUGAUUCUAAUUUCAAAUAACAAAAGGACCAAGGAGAAAAGGACAGGAGAAUUGUAAAUCCAUCUUCUCUUCUCAACAAGACGGUGGAGCGGUGUUUCUGAAAUGUCCAACAGGAAAACUUGCAUGUCUGCCUAGAAGGAGCUGAAGGCUGUUUCUAUCGGACGCCAAAGCCUUCAAGUGCCAAGAAGUUAACAAAGCAGCAGAGAGCUAUAGUGAAAGCCAGAAUAAAGGAACAUGUACAUCCACCCAGUAGAUCUGACAAAAACGCUGAAAUAAAUGGUGGUUGUACUUUGUUGACAUCCCCAGAAGAUGGUGAUCCAUUGUUCCAAAGAAUACAUUGGGACCGUAUCUGUCUUUGUGAAGACCAAGACAGUUUGUCCAUUGUCCUUUUGCCCUGUGCAAUAAAUCACCAUGGUGCUAAAUAUAUGCACCGAAAUGGCAGAAAACCAAAUGUCAGGGUAGAUCUUAAAAUGUUUUUCUGUCUGUUUUUGUUGGUCACUACUGAUGGAUGAUGUAAUUUCCUCCUGGAGUGAAAACAUUCUAUGAGAGGGCUAAGUAUGCUCCCAUGUCAAUACAGGCCCACCUCAAUGUUUGACUCUUGGCAACAGACAAUGUGUUUUGAAGGCUUUGCUUUAGCUUUCUCCAAACUUUAACCUGUCCAAGCUGGUCAUGA